This 497-nucleotide ribosomal RNA is filed under the name uncultured bacterium. RNAcentral's name for it is "partial 16S ribosomal RNA". It matches the Rfam family "Bacterial small subunit ribosomal RNA", at positions 28 to 507 of the family's 1533-position model. The record is from RNAcentral.
GAUGAACGCUGGCGGCGUGCCUAAUACAUGCAAGUCGAGCGAACAGACGAGGAGCUUGCUCCUCUGACGUUAGCGGCGGACGGGUGAGUAACACGUGGAUAACCUACCUAUAAGACUGGGAUAACUUCGGGAAACCGGAGCUAAUACCGGAUAAUAUAUUGAACCGCAUGGUUCAAUAGUGAAAGACGGUUUUGCUGUCACUUAUAGAUGGAUCCGCGCCGCAUUAGCUAGUUGGUAAGGUAACGGCUUACCAAGGCAACGAUGCGUAGCCGAUCUGAGAGGGUGAUCGGCCACACUGGAACUGAGACACGGUCCAGACUCCUACGGGAGGCAGCAGUGGGGAAUCUUCCGCAAUGGGCGAAAGCCUGACGGAGCAACGCCGCGUGAGUGAUGAAGGUCUUCGGAUCGUAAAGCUCUGUUAUUAGGGAAGAACAAAUGUGUAAGUAACUAUGCACGUCUUGACGGUACCUAAUCAGAAAGCCACGGCUAACUACGUG